AUGGCAUGCACACACCUUGCAGAUGCACCUUACAUGUGGCAUGCCUCCUGGGGGGACAAGCUGGAAAUACUGUUCCAGGCCUGGGCCAGGGUCCAGCAGCCCUUAGCCCAGCAGUCCAUCCACUGGAUAGAGGCCAUUGAGGGGUAUGAUACCUCCUCCCAAAAGGAUGAAGUGGUAUCUGCAGACAGAGCUGAGGUUAUCCCCAGGGUGUGUGGAGAUCCACCCCCACUGGAAGGGCCAGAUACCAUCAUGCCUAUCCUCAAGGAAGAUGGAUCCUACCUGCUCUGUGGAUUUUGGGCUGAUGAGCCUGAAGCACCAGCCCAGGCCUGGUCUGAGACUGUGAAAUGUACAAUCCAGCAGCCCAUCUGCUGUGCUGAGGCCAAUGUGGUGGAAGACCUUUCCUACAAAAAGGAGGAAGGGGAGGUGGCAACUGCAGUCCAGGCUGAGCCUAUCCCCAGGGUGUGUGGAGAUCCACCCCCACUGGAAAGGCCAGAUGUCAUCCUGCCUAUCCUGAAGGAUGACAGAUCCUACAUGCUCUGUGGAUAUUGGGCUGUUGAGUCUGGAACACCAGUGCAGGUUUCUGCUGAGCCUUGGCACCUUACAGCCCAGCAGCCCAUCUGCUGUGCUGAGGCCAUUGUGGUGGAAGAUACCUCAAGCCAAAAGGAGGAAGGAGAGGUGGCAUCUCCAGACCUGGCCAAGGCAAACCCCAGGGUGUGUGGAGAUCCACCCCCACUGGAAGGGCCAGAUGUCAUCGUGCCUAUCCUCAAGGAUGAUGGGUCCUACAUGCUCUGUGGAUUUUGGGCAGAUGAUGAUGUUGAAGCUCCAAUCUGGGCCUGUGCUGGGGCCUGGCACCCUACAACCCAGCAGCCCAUCUGCUGUGCUGAGGCCAUUGUGGUGGAAAACCCCUACCACCAAAAGGAGGAAGUGGAGUUGGCAUCUACAGACCAGGCCGAGGCUAUCCCCAGGGUGGGUGAAGAUCCACCCCCACUGGAAGGGCCAGAUGCCAUCGUGCCUGUCCUCAAGGAUGACGGGUCCUACGUGCUCUGUGCAUAUUGGGCAGAUGAACCUGAAGCACCAGACCAGGCCUGGGCUAGGGCCUGGCACUUUACAACCCAGCAGCCCCUCUGCUGUGCUGAGGCCAUUGUGGUGGAAGACUCCUCAAACAAAAAGGAGAAAGUCAAGGGGGCAUCCUCAGAUCAGGCUGAGGCUAUGUCCAGGGUGGGUGAAGAUCCACCCCCACUGGAAGGGCCAGAUGUCAUCGUGCCUAUCUUCAAGGGUGACGGAUCCUACCUGUUCUGUGGAUUUUGGGCUGAUGAGUCUGAAGCACCAGUCCAGGCCUGUGCUGAGCCCUGGCACCUUACAACCCAGAAGCCCAUUUGUUGUGCUGAAGCCAUUGCGGUGGAAGAGCCUUCCUGCAAAAAGGAGGAAGGGGACUCAGCAUCUGCAGAGCAGGCCGAGGCUAUACCCAGGGUGUGUGGAGAUCCACCCCCACUGGAAGGGCCAGAUGUCAUUGUGCCUAUCCUCAAGGAAGAUGGAUCCUACCUGCUCUGUGGAUAUUGGGCUGAUGAGCCUGAAGCACCAGUCCAGGCCUGGGCUGGGGCCUGGCACUUUACAACCCAGCAGCCCAUCUGCAGUGCUGAGGACACUUUGGUGGAAGAGCCCUCAUUUCAAGAGGAGGAAGGUGUGGUGGCACCUGCAGACCAGGCCGAGGCUAAUCAGAGCCUCUGCUCUGCAUCACACCUCGGGGUGUGUGAAGAUCCACCCCCACUGGAAGGGCCAGAUGUCAUUGUGCCUAUUCUCAAGGAUGAUGGGUCCUACAUGCUCUGUACAAUUUGGAUGGAUGAUCCUGAAGCGCCAGUCCAGGCCUGGGCUGGAGCCUGGCACCCUACAACCCAGCAGCCCAUCUGCUGUGCUGAGGCCAUUGUGGUGAAAGAUGCCACCUACCAAAAAGAGAAAGUCAUGUUGGCAACUGCUGAUUGGGCUGAGGCUACCUCCAGGGUGUGUGGAGAUCCACCACCACUGGAAGGGCCAGAUGUCAUCGUGCCUAUCCUCAAGGAUGACAGGUCCUACAUGCUCUGUGCAUAUUGGGCAGAUGAGCAUGAAGCCCCAGUCCAGGCCUGGGCUGGGGCCCUGCACCCUACAGCCCAGCAGCCCAUCUGCUGUGCGGAGGCCAUUGUGGUGGAAGAUGCCUCCAGCCAGAAGGAGAAAAUAGAGGUGGCAUUUGCAGAGCAGACUGAGGCCACACCCAGGGUGGGUGAAGAUCCACCCCCACUGGAAGGGCCAGAUGUCAUCGUGCCUGUCCUCAAGGAUGACGGAUCCUACCUGCUCUGUGCAUAUUGGGCAGAUGAGCCUGAAGCCCCAGUCCAGGCCUGGGCUGGGGCCCUGCACCCUACAGCCCAGCAGCCCAUCUGCUGUGCUGAGGCCAUUCUCGUGGAAGAGCCCUCAUCACAAGAGGAGGAAGGGAAGGUGGCACGUGCAGACCAGGCUGAGGCUAAUCAGAGGGUGUGUGGAGAUCCACCCCCACUGGAAGGGCCAGAUGUCAUCGUGCCUAUCCUCAAGGAUGAUGGAUCCUACCUGCUCUGUGGAUACUGGGCAGAUGAGCCUGAAGCACCAGCCCAGGUCUGGGCUGAGGCCUGGCAUGCAAAAACCCAGCAGCCCAUCUGCUGUGCUGAGGCUUUUUGGGUGCUAAGAACUUCCUCUGGUGGAUACCAUGAAACCUGACUCUGUUCAUUCCAGUACCCCAUUUAUAUUAAAGUUUGGUUUUGUUAAUUAUUUGGGUUCAAUAUUUUGCUCCAUAUUCUUUAAACCUCACAAAUACAUGGAUUAGUAUAACACUGGAACCUGGAAUUCUAGGUGUCUUCUGAUAACUGUAGUCAAGAUUGUUCCUAUGCCACAGGACGUGUCUACAUGCAUCAAGUCUAGUGAAAAAAACCAGACAUAGUCCAAUACCAUGUGAGUACAGGUUAAAGCAGACCUGCUGGGAGUGCACAGUAAGGAGGCAGUUCUAAGGUGAAUGCAAGAAUGCAUAUACUCAAGAUGAGCAUGAGAAUCUCUCAAGACAGUGAGGGAGUGUCAUUAGAAAGGCGUGUGGGACUCUUCUGGAAUCUUAGUGAGUGGGGAUAUUCACUUUCAACAACAUAUUAAUGUGUCCCCUUGAAUUUCAUGGGUCUUUCUCCAUACUGGUUUACAAAACAAAGGAAAAUGAUCGGGCCGGCACCAUGGCUCAAUAGGCUAAUCCUCCACCUAGCAGCACUGGCACACUGGGUUCUAGUCCCGGUUGGGGCUCCGGAUUCUGUCCCGGUUGCUCCUCUUCCAGGCCAGCUCUCUGUUGUGGCCAGGGAGUGCAGUAGAGGAUGGCCCAAGUGCUUGUGCCCUGCACCCCAUGGGAGACCAGGAGAAGCACUUGGCUCCUGCCUUCGGAUCAGUGUGGUGUGUCGGUCGCAGUGUGCCAGCUGUGGCAGCCUUUGGAGGGUGAACCAAUGGCAAAAAGGAAGACCUUUCUCUCUGUCUCUCUCUCUCACUGUCCACUCUGCCUGUCCAAAAAAAAAAGAAAGAAAAUGAUCAUUUUCUGUCAGCACAUCAUCACAGGAAGCACACAGGGAACUAUGAAAUUUGGCUGUUUUUCUUCUGCACAGUGCAGUGAGCCUUGGGCCCCUUGCUGCCUGACUGUUGAGCAAAGGGUAGGAGGUGGCCCACAUCCCAGCCAGGCCCCAAUGGUGGU
This 3721-nucleotide long non-coding RNA is filed under the name Oryctolagus cuniculus (rabbit). RNAcentral describes it as "lncRNA (ENSOCUG00000035401.1)". Lineage: Eukaryota; Metazoa; Chordata; Mammalia; Lagomorpha; Leporidae. The record is from RNAcentral.